This 257-nucleotide ribosomal RNA is filed under the name uncultured prokaryote. RNAcentral describes it as "partial 16S ribosomal RNA". It matches the Rfam family "Bacterial small subunit ribosomal RNA", at positions 524 to 776 of the family's 1533-position model. The record is from RNAcentral.
UACAGAGAGGACUAGUAUUAUUCGAAAUAACUGGGCGUAAAGGGUAUGUAGGCGGUUUAUAACGUUAAUAGUGAAAGAGUAAAAGAGUUCUUUUAUAAUGUCUAUUAAAACGAGUAAACUUGAGUUCGGAAGAGGAUAGUAGAAUUUCUAGUGUAGAGAUAAAAUUCGUAAAUCUUAGAAGGAACACCUUUAGGCGAAGGCGACUAUCUUGUUUGAUAUACUGACGCUGAAAUACUAAAGCAUGGGGAGCAAACGGG